RNAcentral lists this ribosomal RNA (823 nucleotides) under actinobacterium WD270. RNAcentral's name for it is "bacterial SSU rRNA". It matches the Rfam family "Bacterial small subunit ribosomal RNA", at positions 404 to 1240 of the family's 1533-position model. The record is from RNAcentral. Lineage: Bacteria; Bacillati; Actinomycetota; Actinomycetes.
AGGGAUGAAGGCCUUCGGGUUGUAAACCUCUUUCNNCAGGGAAGAAGCGCANGUGACGGUACCUGCAGAAGAAGCGCCGGCUAACUACGUGCCAGCAGCCGCGGUAAUACGUAGGGCGCANGCGUUGUCCGGAAUUAUUGGGCGUAAAGAGCUCGUAGGCGGUUUGUCGCGUCUGCUGUGAAAACGCGAGGCUCAACCUCNCGCCUGCAGUGGGUACGGGCAGACUANAGUGCGGUAGGGGAGACUGGAAUUCCUGGUGUAGCGGUGGAAUGCGCAGAUAUCAGGAGGAACACCGGUGGCGAAGGCGGGUCUCUGGGCCGUAACUGACGCUGAGGAGCGAAAGCAUGGGGAGCGAACAGGAUUAGAUACCCUGGUAGUCCAUGCCGUAAACGUUGGGCACUANGUGUGGGGCUCAUUCCACGAGUUCCGUGCCGCAGCAAACGCAUUAAGUGCCCCGCCUGGGGAGUACGGCCGCAAGGCUAAAACUCAAAGGAAUUGACGGGGGCCCGCACAAGCGGCGGAGCAUGCGGAUUAAUUCGAUGCAACGCGAAGAACCUUACCAAGGCUUGACAUACACCGGAAAGAUGCANAGAUGUGUCCCCCGCAAGGUCGGUGUACAGGUGGUGCAUGGUUGUCGUCAGCUCGUGUCGUGAGAUGUUGGGUUAAGUCCCGCANCGAGCGCAACCCUCGUCCUAUGUUGCCAGCACGUNAUGGUGGGGACUCAUANGAGACUGCCGGGGUCNACUCGNAGGAANGUGGGGANGACGUCAAAUCAUCAUGCCCCUUAUGUCUUGGGCUUCACGCAUGCUACAAUGGCCGGUAC